GACGAACGCUGGCGGCGUGCUUAACACAUGCAAGUCGAACGGAAAGGCCCUGCUUUUGUGGGGUGCUCGAGUGGCGAACGGGUGGGUAACACGCGAGUAACCUGCCCUUGACUUUGGGAUAACUUCAGGAAACUGGGGCUAAUACCGGAUAGGAGCUCCUGCUGCAUGGUGGGGGUUGGAAAGUUUCGGCGGUUGGGGAUGGACUCGCGGCUUAUCAGCUUGUUGGUGGGGUAGUGGCUUACCAAGGCUUUGACGGGUAGCCGGCCUGAGAGGGUGACCGGCCACAUUGGGACUGAGGUACGGCCCAGACUCCUACGGGAGGCAGCAGUGGGGAAUAUUGCACAAUGGGCGGAAGCCUGAUGCAGCAACGCCGCGUGCGGGAUGACGGCCUUCGGGUUGUAAACCGCUUUCGCCUGUGACGAAGCGUGAGUGACGGUAAUGGGUAAAGAAGCACCGGCUAACUACGUG
RNAcentral lists this ribosomal RNA (468 nucleotides) under uncultured bacterium. RNAcentral's name for it is "partial 16S ribosomal RNA". It matches the Rfam family "Bacterial small subunit ribosomal RNA", at positions 28 to 507 of the family's 1533-position model. The record is from RNAcentral.